This 1052-nucleotide ribosomal RNA is filed under the name Triticum aestivum (bread wheat). Its description in RNAcentral is "partial small subunit ribosomal RNA". The record is from RNAcentral. Lineage: Eukaryota; Viridiplantae; Streptophyta; Magnoliopsida; Poales; Poaceae.
CCCAACUCUAUCCUCCCCACCACCCGACUGACUAAACCCCCAGACGUCCCGGAGGUUUCAGCAGCAGCACGAGAACCACGGUGAUGGGCGCCGUGACAAUGGCGAGCAGCUCCCUGGUCCUCCGCCCGCGGGCGUCGUCGUCGUUGCCGAGCACGAGUCCUCGUCGUGCGCCCACGCGCCGGGCGGCAUUGCCCGCCCCGCGGCGCCUCCGGGCCGCGGCUGCUGAAACUCCUCCGCGGGAGGGGGGGCUCUCCGUGGUGGUGGCCGGCGAGACGAGGUCGGCGACGACGACGCGGCUCUACUCGCUGGCGCCGUACCCGCUGCUGCUGGCGGCGCUGCUGCCGGGGGCGGAGCCCAUCAGCGCGGCCUUCGAGCCCUUCGUGGAGCUGGUCAGGACCUUGAGCCUCCCCGACUGGCUCGUGCACUGGGGCCACCCCGGCAACAUGGCCGUGGUGCUGUUCGCAAUGGGUGGGUACGGGACAUACCUCGGAUUCAGGAUCAAGCUGUCUGACGACCCUGAGGAGAAGGCCAAGGCCAAGGACCUCCACCCCAAGCUCCUCGGCGGCAUGUUCUUCUUCUUCGCCCUCGGCGCCACAGGCGGGGUCACCGCCCUCCUCACCUCCGGUAAACCCAUCUUCGAAAGUCCUCACGCGGUCACCGGGGUCAUCGGCCUUGCGCUCCUCACCGUGCAGUCUCUCCUGCCAACAUUGUUUGAGGGGAACCCUGGGCUGAGAGGCGCGCACGGCCUACUCGGCAGCAGCAUCAUGACGCUCUUCCUUUUCCACGCCGCGUUUGGGCUGCAGCUUGGCCUCAGCUUCUAAUUAGCUCGUGCGUGUGUGCGUAGCUGGUGUUAAUUCGUUUGGGGUUUGUUUCUGUGUUUGUGGUUGCUUAGAAGAAGUAAAUUCAUCUCUCACAGUUUCAUCCUUGUCUUUGUUAGCUAGCAGUAAUACUGUCAAGAAAACGAUAUCCCAACUUACCUACGUGCAGGUAUGCAUUACAACAUAAUUUCUUCCCAGAACCAUGUACUGCAAUGUGUAUGAUCUUUUCUAGAA